UCCUUGGUGGUGUAGUGGUGAGCAUGCUCAGCUAGUAUUUGAGAGGUCCGGGGUUCGAAUCCCGACGAAGGCA
Molecule: transfer RNA, 73 nt
Filed under: Stegodyphus mimosarum
Lineage: Eukaryota; Metazoa; Arthropoda; Arachnida; Araneae; Eresidae
Rfam family: tRNA
About the family: Transfer RNA (tRNA) molecules are approximately 80 nucleotides in length.
Source: Rfam by way of RNAcentral